UGCUGCCCUCGCCCGGCCCGGGGCGCCGCUGCCAUGCGGCUGGCGCUGCUCUGGGCCCUGGGGCUCCUGGGCGCGGGCAGCCCUCUGCCUUCCUGGCCGCUCCCAAAUAUAGGUGGCACCGAGGAGCAGCAGGCAGAGUCAGAGAAGGCCCCGAGGGAGCCCUUGGAGCCCCAGGUCCUUCAGGACCUCAAAAAGGUGCUUCAGACCAGUCUGCCUGAGCCCCUGAGGAUCAAGUUGGAGCUGGACGGUGACAGUCAUAUCCUGGAGCUGCUACAGAAUAGAGAGUUGGUCCCAGGCCGUCCAACCCUGGUGUGGUACCAGCCCGAUGGCACUCGGGUGGUCAGUGAGGGACACACUCUGGAGAACUGCUGCUACCAGGGAAGAGUGCAGGGAUAUGCAGGCUCCUGGGUGUCCGUCUGCACCUGCUCUGGGCUCAGAGGCUUGGUGGUCCUGACCCCAGAGAGAAGCUAUACCCUGGAGCAGGAGCCUGGGGACCUUCAGGGUCCUCCCAUUAUUUCGCGAAUCCAAGAUCUCCACCUGCCAGGCCACACCUGUGCCCUGAGCUGGCAGGAAUCUGUAUACACUCAGACUCCACCAGAGCACCCCCUGGGACAGCGCCACAUUCGCCGGUGGAGGCGGGAUGUGGUAACAGAGACCAAGACUGUGGAGUUGGUGAUUGUGGCUGAUCACUCGGAGGUGAGCCUGCUGGCCCCUGCACAUGCUCCUCCCCCUGCACUGCCCCGCCGCCUUUCGUGUCACCUCUCUUGGCCUACAGGUCCAGAAAUACCGGGACUUCCAGCACCUGCUAAACCGCACAUUGGAAGUGGCCCUCUUGCUGGACACAGUGAGUGCUGGACAGGGCAGCCCCCACCCCAGGCCCCUGACCAUGACAACCCCUCUUCUGAGCCCCAGCUGUCUUUCAGUUCUUCCGGCCCCUGAAUGUACGAGUGGCACUAGUGGGCCUGGAGGCCUGGACCCAGCGUGACCUGGUGGAGAUCAGCCCAAACCCAGCUGUCACCCUCGAAAACUUCCUCCACUGGCGCAGGGCACAUUUGCUGCCUCGAUUGCCCCACGACAGUGCCCAGCUGGUGACUGGUACUUCAUUUUCUGGGCCUACGGUGGGCAUGGCCAUUCAGAACUCCAUCUGUUCUCCUGACUUCUCAGGAGGUGUGAACAUGGACCACUCCACCAGCAUCCUGGGAGUCGCCUCCUCCAUAGCCCAUGAGUUGGGCCACAGCCUGGGCCUGGACCAUGAUUUGCCUGGGAAUAGCUGCCCCUGUCCAGGUCCAGCCCCAGCCAAGACCUGCAUCAUGGAGGCCUCCACAGACUUCCUACCAGGCCUGAACUUCAGCAACUGCAGCCGACGGGCCCUGGAGAAAGCCCUCCUGGAUGGAAUGGGCAGCUGCCUCUUUGAACGGCUGCCUAGCCUACCCCCUAUGGCGGCUUUCUGCGGAAAUACGUUUGUGGAGCCGGGCGAGCAGUGUGACUGUGGCUUCCCGAAUGACUGCGUCGAUCCCUGCUGUGAUUCCUCGACCUGCCAGCUGAGGCCAGGUGCACAGUGUGCAUCUGAUGGACCCUGUUGUCAAAAUUGCCAGCUGCGCCCGUCUGGCUGGCAGUGUCGUCCUACCAGAGGGGAUUGUGACUUGCCUGAAUUCUGCCCAGGAGACAGCUCCCAGUGUCCCCCUGAUGUCAGCCUAGGGGAUGGUGAGCCCUGCGCUGGCGGGCAAGCUGUGUGCAUGCACGGGCGUUGUGCCUCCUAUGCCCAGCAGUGCCAGUCACUUUGGGGACCUGGAGCCCAGCCCGCUGCGCCACUUUGCCUCCAGACAGCUAAUACUCGGGGAAAUGCUUUUGGAAGCUGUGGGCGCAACCCCAGUGGCAGUUAUGUGUCCUGCACCCCUAGAGAUGCCAUUUGUGGGCAGCUCCAGUGCCAGACAGGUAGGACCCAGCCUCUGCUGGGCUCCAUCCGGGAUCUACUCUGGGAGACAAUAGAUGUGAAUGGGACUGAGCUGAACUGCAGCUGGGUGCACCUGGACCUGGGCAGUGAUGUGGCCCAGCCCCUCCUGACUCUGCCUGGCACAGCCUGUGGCCCUGGCCUGGUGUGUAUAGACCAUCGAUGCCAGCGUGUGGAUCUCCUGGGGGCACAGGAAUGUCGAAGCAAAUGCCAUGGACAUGGGGUCUGUGACAGCAACAGGCACUGCUACUGUGAGGAGGGCUGGGCACCCCCUGACUGCACCACUCAGCUCAAAGCAACCAGCUCCCUGACCACAGGGCUGCUCCUCAGCCUCCUGGUGUUAUUGGUCUUGGUGAUGCUUGGUGCCAGCUACUGGUACCGUGCCCGCCUGCACCAGCGACUCUGCCAGCUCAAGGGACCCACCUGCCAGUACAGGGCAGCCCAAUCAGGUCCCCCUGAACGGCCAGGACCUCCGCAGAGGGCCCUGCUGGCGCGAGGCACUAAGCAGGCUAGUGCUCUCAGCUUCCCGGCCCCCCCUUCCAGGCCGCUGCCGCCUGACCCUGUGUCCAAGAGACUCCAGGCUGAGCUGGCUGACCGACCCAAUCCCCCUACCCGCCCUCUGCCCGCUGACCCGGUGGUGAGAAGCCCGAAGUCUCAGGGGCCAGCCAAGCCCCCACCCCCAAGGAAGCCACUGCCUGCCGACCCCCAGGGCCGGUGCCCAUCGGGUGACCUGCCCGGCCCAGGAGCUGGAAUCCCACCCCUAGUGGUACCCUCCAGACCAGCGCCACCGCCUCCGACAGUGUCCUCGCUCUACCUCUGACAUCUCUGGACGUUCCGCUGCCUCCAAGCCGGACUUAGGGCUUCAAGAGGCGGGCGUGCCCUCUGGAGUUCCCUACCAUGACUGAAGGCGCCAGAGACUGUAUGCGGUGUCUUAAGGCUCCGGGCACCGCCACGCGCUGUCAAGCAGCACUCUGCGGACCUGCCGGCGUAGUUGCAGCCGGGGCUUGGGGAGGGGCUGGGGGUUGGACAGGGUUGAGGAAGGUCCGCACAGCCUGUCUCUGCUCAGCUGCAAUAAACGUGACAUCUUGG
Molecule: small RNA, 3040 nt
Filed under: Pongo abelii (Sumatran orangutan)
Lineage: Eukaryota; Metazoa; Chordata; Mammalia; Primates; Hominidae
Description: processed transcript
Source: RNAcentral